GCAUAGCCUUGCGCUGGCGACGGUUCAUUCAAAUUUCUGCCCUAUCAACUUUCGAUGGUAAGGUAUUGGCCUACCAUGGUUUCAACGGGUAACGGGGAAUUAGGGUUCGAUUCCGGAGAGGGAGCCUGAGAAACGGCUACCACAUCCAAGGAAGGCAGCAGGCGCGCAAAUUACCCAAUCCCGACACGGGGAGGUAGUGACAAUAAAUACUGAUACAGGGCUCUUUUGGGUCUUGUAAUUGGAAUGAGUACAAUUCAAAUCUCUUAACGAGGAACAAUUGGAGGGCAAGUCUGGUGCCAGCAGCCGCGGUAAUUCCAGCUCCAAUAGCGUAUAUUAAAGUUGUUGCAGUUAAAAAGCUCGUAGUUGAAACUUGGGCCUGGCUGGCGGGUCCGCCUCACCGCGUGCACUCGUCCGGCCGGGCCUUCCUU
Molecule: ribosomal RNA, 428 nt
Filed under: uncultured Pezizomycotina
Lineage: Eukaryota; Fungi; Ascomycota
Description: SSU rRNA
Rfam family: Eukaryotic small subunit ribosomal RNA
Source: RNAcentral